This 246-nucleotide signal recognition particle RNA is filed under the name Salmo salar (Atlantic salmon). Its description in RNAcentral is "Metazoan signal recognition particle RNA". It matches the Rfam family "Metazoan signal recognition particle RNA", at positions 1 to 246 of the family's 299-position model. From Rfam's summary of the family: The signal recognition particle (SRP) is a universally conserved ribonucleoprotein. It is involved in the co-translational targeting of proteins to membranes. Lineage: Eukaryota; Metazoa; Chordata; Actinopteri; Salmoniformes; Salmonidae. The record is from Rfam by way of RNAcentral.
GCCGGGCGCGGUGGCAUGUGCCUGUAAUCCAAGUCACUGGGAGGCUGAGGUUGGUGGAUCAAGUGAGCUGAGGAGCUCUGGGCUGCAGCACGCUACGUCGAACGGGUGUCCACGCUAAGUUCAGUAUCGAUAUGGUGAUCCUGGGGGAGCCCGGGACCACCAGGUUGUCUAAGGAGGGGUGCACCGGCCCAGGUCGGAAACGAAGCAGGUCAAAUCCCCCGUGCUGUCCAGUAGUGGGAUAAUACC